Pollicipes pollicipes is the source of this 321-nucleotide long non-coding RNA. RefSeq lists it as uncharacterized. NCBI's taxonomy places the organism in Eukaryota, Metazoa, Arthropoda, Thecostraca, Pollicipedomorpha, Pollicipedidae. The record is from RefSeq and is a predicted model, not a curated record. The transcript is spliced from 3 exons.
GCGGCCGACAGUGACGUCACGCGGCGCGCCCGAGCCGAGUUGGUCCAGGUUUUCACGCCGGCCCUGGCUCACGCCGUCUACGUGCCGCUCUGCCAUCUCUUGGAGGCACUGUGCACUGCAGCUUCGUCCGAAGACAUUGAACUGAUUCGCGACCUCUGCGUUCUCCACCGCCAGAGGGCAGUCACCUUGCCGCGGGAUGUCACCAGUGGCCCAAACGCCAGUUUGCCGAUGGCCGGUAGUACGGGGUCCGGGUCAGGCCGGGACGGCACCGCCGCCGCCACCGCCAGUGGGGGCGGCGCCGGCGGCGCUGGCGGUGCCGGG